GUGAAUCAUCAAAUUUUUGAACGCAAAUUGCACUCUCGGGUAUUCCGGAGAGUAUGCCUGUUUGAGGGUCAGUGUAAAUAAAAAUCUGUGUGGUUGCUGCCUUUCGUGGUGACGCAUCGGAUUUGGGUCGUCUGGCCUUGGGGGAAGUUACCUAAAAUUGUGCUUGAUUUUUUUGUACGUGGUUAAA
Molecule: unclassified non-coding RNA, 187 nt
Filed under: Glomeraceae sp.
Lineage: Eukaryota; Fungi; Glomeromycota; Glomeromycetes; Glomerales; Glomeraceae
Description: partial contains 5.8S ribosomal RNA and internal transcribed spacer 2
Rfam family: 5.8S ribosomal RNA (bases 1-71)
Source: RNAcentral